Molecule: ribosomal RNA, 253 nt
Filed under: uncultured bacterium
Lineage: Bacteria
Description: partial 16S ribosomal RNA
Rfam family: Bacterial small subunit ribosomal RNA
Source: RNAcentral
UACGAAGGGUGCAAACGUUGCUCGGAAUUCUUGGGCGUAAAGCGCACGUAGGCGGCUUUGCAAGUCGGAUGUGAAAUCCCUCGGCUCAACCAAGGAAGUGCAUCCGAAACUGCAGAGCUUGAGUACCAAAGAGGAUCGCGGAAUUCCCGGUGUAGAGGUGAAAUUCGUAGAUAUCGGGAGGAACACCAGUGGCGAAGGCGGCGAUCUGGGUGGAUACUGACGCUGAGGUGCGAAAGCGUGGGGAGCAAACAGG